GACAGGCGGGACGGGUGUAUCACAGUCCCUGAUGAGAUUGGGUCAGAGAUUGUUAUUUUUAUAUCUACAGAUAGCUCGUAGUGAUUAGCGAUAGUAUAGUAGCAUGUAGCUGUAGAGUUCAUUCCAGCUUUUCUUACUAUCUCUUGUACACAUUUCUGUAGACUUAGUGGGUGAGCUGUUGAGGUCGGUGACGAUACCCACCGAGAACUACUUGUUUUAUAGUAGUUCUCACACCCAGUUGUUGACCCCUUUUUACAGAGCCUUCGUCUGUGGCUGCUAUUGCCGCUGAUUCAGACCGUGGGAAGGGAGUUGCGAGCUAGAUCCCUACCCAUCUCGUUGCCGUGCUAGAGGAGUACCUUCCAUAGGUAGUUUUGGGGUUUUUUGUACAUAUGGUUAUAUUGUCGGGGUACUCACUGGAGCGAGUUGUGUUGUAGACUUUUUGUAUGUACAGGAACCCCUUGAGGUUUUUAUAUAUAUAUAUGUUUAUUUUCAGUUUAGCAGCUCUAUACUACUGGUUGUAGUUAUGUUGUGAUUACAGGUACAGCUAUCGCUUUGUAUACACGAAAAUUUUCUCUGUAUACGGUGGGUCUAUUGGCGUGCCCGGGGAAAUGUGGUAAUCCAGGGCGUGACACUGACAGCCUCAAUCGGACUAAACCACGACGCGCGCGCAAUCCUCCAAGACGACGAGAGGGGAAAAAUUAGCUCGUUCCUCAAAUUCCAAAGAAAAGAGAAGAGAAGCUAGAGAAAGAGAGAGAGAGGAGAAGCUAACAGGGUUUCUCUAAGCUUCCAACACUUCUAUACGAGCUGAGGUCGGUUGGAAUGAACGACACACAAAAAUGACCAAAAGGCCCCUUACCAACUCAUUUCUGCCUCUGGGGUACCGGUACUCAACUUGGGUAUCGGUACUCGUCCCUCAAACUGCAAUCUCGCGCUGGGUACCGUUACCAGCCCGAUGCAGUACCGGUACUCAAGCUCGGUACCGGCCAGUACUCAACAACAGAUACCGGUACUCAACAUCAAACUGCGCAAACCCGAGAGCAUCCAGUUCAGAAAUUUCAUUGGGUACCGGUACUCCUCCCAGGUACCGGUACUCAACACUGAAAUCCUGCACUUUACAAAUUUUAGUGUCAGAACUGCACUCUCGCACAGCGCCGAGUCCGUUUUGCAUCUAAUUCGUGCCAAGACGUCUCCGACUUGUCCCGACACCCACCAGAUGUGUUGACAAGCCAUAGCUACUGAAGUCACACAUGCAGCCAAACACCAGGGACACUACACCAGAGCGUGACAAAGGAUAUAUUUAAAAAGGAAAAAGUCAAAAUACAUCUUUAUGUCCUAACUUAAGGAUAAAUAAAAAAAAGUUGGCAAUGGUAAAAAAAAAAUAUUUAAAUAAAUAUUCUCAAUAUUAGUUUUCUAAAAAUGAUAAAUAAAAAAAUCAAAAACCUUGUAGGUGUAUAUAGGCAAUUGCCACUUCAAUGACAUUGCACAAGAAAGGCACAUGGGUUUCUUGUGUGACGGCCAUUUAGGAUGUGUUUGGUUUAAAGUCAAAACUGGUAUCAGAAUCGAAAUAAGAAUAAGCUGGAAACAAAAUCGGAAUGAUUUAUUAUCUCAUUCUGUUUGGUUUGCCGCUUGAAUCGAAAUUGGAAUAAACAAUUCUCAUUGUCGGUGUUUGGUUUAAAUAAAUACCAGAAAGGUAAUCAAAUUGAUAUGCUAAAUUUAUCUUUAUAAUAUGUUAGUUUAAAUUCAGACUGAAAAUUAAAUAUUAAAAAUUUAUGUCAAAUGUCAAAAUUUUAAAUAUAUUCUUUUAAAAAAUUAAAAUGUGAAAUUGAAUGAAUAAUACAAAAUAUAAAACUAAAUUUGGUUUAUUCAAAUGCAAACUUAAAACUAUAAUUUAAACUUCAAUUUGAAUCCAUAAAUUUAAUUUAAAUUUUAAAUAAAAUUUGAAUAAAACUUUAGAUUUUAAAUUAAAUUUAAAUUUAAAUUCAAAUUUAUAAAUUAGAUUCGAAAUGUUUGAUUGAAUUUUAAUUUUUAAUUUAUAUUUAAAUUAAAAAUUAAAUUUAUAAAUAUAAAUUUAAUUUUCCAUGAAAAAUUAAAUUUAUAUUUAAUUUUUUCAUAAAAAAUUAAAUUUUUCAUGUCCAAUUUUUUUUUUCAGAAAAUUUUUUUUUCUAUAGUUUUACAAGAAACCAAACACACUUUUAACCAAACAAACCCUUUCCAAACAAACCCUUAUGUAGUACAAUCCAAGAACUGACGUGGUAGAGCUGGUCCUCCCAUAAUUUCUUUUCCUGUAUACGCAACUCCGAACCGAAUGUUCCACAACUUACCUUCGCUGCUGCUGUUGCUGCACUCGGUCACACACUUCCAUGAUGGCCACCCUAACUUCUCCUUACCUCUCCUCCCCCUUCUCUCCUCUCCUCCUCUCCCCCUCUUCCUCACCUCCACCACCACCCCACCACCACCAUCAUCAUCUCAUUCACAAACGCAACUACUUUCAGUACAAAGAAACGCCCAGGCAGGUCCCUCUCCCCUUUUACAUAACCGCCAGCCUCCUCAACGCUUCCUCUGCUGCCUGGCCGUCGAUCACGGCGGCGCUGAGGCGUCGUCCCCCCGCCGGCGGCACCGCCGCCCGCGGAGUCUCCGCGUGGCCUCGCCGCGCGGCCGGCGGCCACAUCUACCCGGCGAUCGCCAUCGCCGACGACCUCCGCUCCGCGCCGCCGCCGCCGACGCCGCCCCCAGAUUCUCUUCCUCGGCUCCGCCUCCGGCAUCGAGGCCUCCGCCGUCCCGCCGCCGGCUACGAGUUCGCCCCGUCCCCCCCUCCCGCCUCGCCCGCCCGCUCUCCUCCGCCCCUCAACUCCUCCUCCGCUCCGUCGCCGCCUGCCUCCGCGUCCUCCGCGACUUCCGCCCCGACGUCGUCGUCGGCACCGGCGGCUACGUCGCCUUCCCCGUCUGCCUCGCCGCCCUCAUCCUCAACAUCACCAUCGUGAUCCAGGAGCAGAACAGCUUCCCCGGCCUCACCAACCGCCUCCUCGCCCCCUUCGCCGCCAAGAUCUUCCUCGCUUUCAAUGCCUGCGUGAAGCACUUCCCCAAGAAAAAAUGCUUCGUGUACGGCAACCCGGUGCGCCUCGCCCUCCGGCGGUUCACGUCGAAGGUGGUGGCGCGGUCGCACUUCUUCCCCAAGGCCGGCGCCGACGGCAAGGCGGCUGAGGUCGUGCUCGUGCUUGGCGGCUCCAUCGGGUCCGCGGCUAUCAAUAUUGCGAUGCUUAACAUGUAUUAUGAGAUGCUGAUGGAGCAUAAGAACAGGUACAUCAUAUGGCAGACGGGGGCCGAGGGCUACUGCGAGAUGGAGAGCCUCGUGAAGAACAACCGCCGGUUGCUGCUCGCCCCGUGAGCUCUCUCAUUCUCUAUGCUUCUCUAAUUUUGUUUGCUGGUUAUUAUGAUCUUUGUUUAGUUGAUCAACUAACACCAUUCUCUGAGCAUCUGCUCAGUGCCAAGAUAUAAUGCAUGAAAGGGAUGGCAAGAGGGAAACUGCAAAUUGGGAAAAGUAAUGGCAUAGUGAUAAAAGUCCCGUUGCAGAUGAUUUCUUUACUUUGGAGUUGCUAGUUAAUUUUAGAAAUAUACGAAUAAACGAGUGUUCUCUCCGUCUUUAGAUUUUCAAACUUUGCGAGUCUUGUAUCUUGUGACAGUGAUGAACCCAAACCGUUAGAAAAUAUUUUAGGACACUGAUGCGUUGAUAGGAUGGCUUACUUAUGAACAUUGUUAGUGAAUUUGCUUCAUAUCUGUAUUCUAAUUGAAUUUAGCUUUUUCUUAGUCCAAUUAAGUAGUUUGUGCUUUGCUUACUUUGGCAAACUCUUGAUCGCUGUUAGAUCUAACGUAUAAACUCAUAAUAUUAGAUCAUACCAGUUCGAAGCGCGGAAUUAAUUGGCCCACAAUCUUCACCAUGCUAGAUUCACAGGUCCUUCAGUCUCUGCGUGUCGUAGAUCAUCAUACGGAGUCCUUCGGAUCUCCUUCGUGGUUGGGAAUCUACUUACAUGAAGUAGAUUUAGUAUUCCACGACACAAGAAACUAUUAAAACAGAAAAGGUGACUGUGGAAGGCUUUUAGAUGAAGGGGAAAAGUUUUUCCUGGUCCUCGCAAUCAACCCACGUUUUGCCCAAUAUAGCCUAUAUUGAUAGGUAUCUAGAUGGCACUCUUUGGAGUCAGAAUGAAGACAUCAACCCAUACAAAUAAUGGUGUAGUUUAUACCCCAGGGUCAUUCGGGCACAUCAGAUCAAGCAGCUUUUAAUCCCUCAAGGAAAAAGUGUGCUCAACCCCUUACAAACCUCGUAUGUAUUCACAAUCAUAUCCUAGCUUCCUCAAAGCGCCAUGAUUGGCCGACUAGUGAAUCCAAGUGAAUGAUGCGAUUCCAAAUUUGCCUUCCUAUCGCCCGAGUGCCAUUAGGAUCUGAACUAUUCGCUUUCCUAGUAAUGCUCCUUGAGGUCGAAGGUCGAAUUAAUCAUGACCAUAAACAAACGCUCUAAAGUAGCGGACAUUAGUUCUUCACUUCAUGACAUAGUCAAAAGUCACAAAGGGUACGCUAAUUGAGAUUAAACUCCAGCACUCACAUAGUGGGGAAGCAGGGAUCCAUUCAUUCACUUCUUGAUAGAUCGUUAAGCACAUGCAGCAUGAAAUGCAUGUUAUGGUGGAGCUACUCUUACCAAGGAGUGUAUGUCUUUCUCUAAACACCUUAUGAGUUGUAGUCUAGGCAUGCCACUUAAUUAACUCGAGUUCUUUAUUGACUCGCUUUCAAUAGCGCCAAAAGAAGUCUCGCACUUGGCUUCUCAUAUGCUACUUGGGUUGUAGGAGAACAUCCAUGUUGGUCUCCUACGUUCACUUAAGACCUUAUCCUGGUUUCAACUAGGGCGAUAUUUUAAUAAUUCAAACUAAGCUCACAUUCACAACGCCAAAGUUCAAACUUUUGUCUCAUCUCUGUUCGCUCAACUAGUGCCAGAGGCGAUUGCUUGCAUGAGCAAGCCAAUCUGAUCCAAUUGACAUACUUUACGAUUUGCGUUAGUUUUAACUCAUACAAAAAUUCACAAACGUAGAGGAAUGAAAGCAUUUAGAAGCAAAUCAAUGUCCAAAAGUUUUUAUUACAUGGUGGUCGAACCAAAAAACAAAAAACACAAAACAUAUUUGAUGCAAUUCUUGGGAUUUGACAUACCUCAUAAAUGAAUCCCUAGUAAUAGGCUUAGUAAACAGAUCAACAACCAUUUGAUUCUUGGUGAUAUGCUUCAAGACCACUUGCUUCUGCUUAGCAAUGUCUGUUAUGAAGUGGUACCUCACAUCUAUAUUCUUGGUUUUGCCAUGGUAUUUGGGGUCCUUUUCAAAUGCUAGUGCAACUAAACUAUCACAGUAAGUCGUUACUAGAUUGGUUGCGUGAACAACCAAGAUGCAGCAAAAACCUCCUUAACCAAAUGGUCUCUUGCACAGUGUUGCGUGCCGAAUUCCCUGACCCUUGAUCUAGUCAAAGAUCCUCCUUGGGGAGCAUGUCGGGAUGAAAAACGGUUGCCGAUAGUGACCCUCGAAGUUUGCGCCUUUCGGCUGGAUCAAGCGAUUCGGCUGAUGAGGGAUCGGAUCAGCCGAGUUCGAAAACUUUAUUAAAGAUUAGGUUCGGCUGGAAUGAGCCGAAUGUACGGACCAGCUACAAAUUUGACUCGAUAGAUGAGCCGAAUAGAAGAAACACGCACCAGUUGGUCGGCUUGAAGAUCCGAAAGCCUUGGAAAUUACGCUUGAGGAAAAGUACAAGGGUUGAGUGUGCCGGAUGGCAUACAGACUCGGUUGAUCUACUUAGGAACUACUUCUAGGGAAAAACAAUAAAUGCGGGAAAGUAAAAGUUACAAGUAGACUACUCCUAGAAAAUGCAGGAAAUUGCAAGGAAUAAGGGCGGUCUUUUGUUCACAGGGAAAAGACCCCUUUUUAGGGCGUUAUUGACCUAUUUAUAGAUCGCCCCUUGUGAUCAGUUAUUACCUAUACAUGAUCGGCCAUUAUUCCUGAUUUUUUGGACCACUUUCAGCCGAUCGGAACCACUUGCAACUGCUUGCGGUUACUGUAACCUCCCUUAAUUCGCGUAGCUGUUCGUUCCUUAAAAACCCUUCCGAUGCUCCCGGUGUACAGCAAGAUUGCCACCUUUAAAUGGAAUAUUGGCGUUCCACCUGUCCGCGCCUAAUUGGCUCAACACACAGCAACUGAUAAUACCACAUAUUUGGCCUCCAUGUCAGACAAUACAACAUCGGACUGCUUUUGCUACUGCAUGAUAUGGCGCCAUUGUUCGGCAAAAAAACAUAUCCUGUCAUCACAGUCACCUCCCCAGUCGGCAUCACAGUAGCCAAGUAGGUGCAAAUCUCCACCUUCGUAACGCUGCUUGCAGUCACACGUGUAGUUUUUGUGACCGACACACAUCGGUACGGCACUGCACACACCGUGCAGGCAAGUUUUCGUUACGACCUCGUGCCGGCAAGUUUUCGUCACGACCUCGUGCCAUGACGCUCAAAUCCUUGGUUUUGAUGACGUCGAUCUUUUGUAGAUAAUUCUUUUUUUUAGUAAUGAAGUGGACCAGCUCCUUUUGUAUAGACGGAAGGGAGGAGAAGAGGGGCGUGACUUACAUAUGAGGUUUCUGCCAUCUUGUGAGGAAGGGACCUAUGCGUGUGUUCUUCAUGGAUAAGUCAAUCUCAACGGUCUUCGUCCUCCAAUGAUUGAUGUAACAUCUACGAAUAAAAAAAAAAGAGAAAAAGAGAAGAUAGAAUAGGUAAUAGGAUUCCCCAUGGAAUUGCUCUGGUCAGAAUUUCUCUGUAUUUUGUCUCACACAGAGGAAAAGUUUGCGAGAAAAUUUGUCCAAACAAGAUUUUUCGUAAUUCUUGAAAACACAAAUUGCAAUGAAGCUGAUGGCUCAUAUUUACAAAUAUUCCUAGCCCUAUGUUUCUUAAAAGGAUAAGAAGAAAAGGAAACUAAAUCAAAUUGAAACUUCCCCAAUUUUGUAAAUCCUAAUCAAAUCUCAAGUCAAAUCUAACUAGAAUCAUAAUUUUAAUUGAAUUACAAAUAGAAUCCUAAUCAGAUAAAAUAAACAAAAUAUCCAAACAUAAAAACAAACUCCCAAUUACAUUCUAUAAUCUAUCAGGCUCCAAUUUGGGAGGAAAUUGUUAUAGUCAAAUAUGAUUCGACUCGGGCUCGAGCUCAAUGGCUGUUUCCUCAUCACUCCACCUAUAAAGACUUUGUACUCCAUAGAAUCUCUUCAAUACCUCAUUCAAGUUUUCUUAGAAUUAGUUCCUGUUGGCAUCGUACAGUAUCAUUUUUAUUACAAUGCAAUUAUUAUAUUGAUUGCCUUUUGCCUAUCGCUAAUUUUAUGCACAAAAUGCUAUCACUUCCUGUUCACUAUCAUAUUCUCUUCCUUUCCACUGUUAUAACUCAUAUCUAAUACUUGUAUCUGUUAUAAUUCCUACUCUAUUUUUGCUUUUAUUCCUCCCACCUUUCCACUAUUACAAUCUCAUCUCUAAUACUUUUGUCUACUAUAAUACCUACUCUAUUUCUACAUUUACUUCUCAUUUCACAUUUUCCACUAUGAUUGGGUUUUGGUGCAGCAUCUCACUUGUAAGGAAUUCUUCAACUUGAUAUGUAUGUUUCUCUUUCAUUUUCAUGCUAACUUAUUGAGUUAUACAAAGGCUGUUAACCUAUUGCAACCAUCCAGUCUCUAGUUUGGGACAUCUAUUGCUGGUUUUUUGAUUGGACAUUAUCCUCUAAACCAUUAAUUUUUAUUGUUUCACACUCUUCGUUUUAUUUCAUCAAAUCUUAGGGGGUGUUUGGCUUAGCUUUUAAAAAGUGCUUUUGGGUUGAAAAGUGAUUUUCGGCUCAAUAGAGCGUUUGGCAACCUCAUUUUUAAAAUCUGAUUUUAUUUUUCAGAAUCAGAAAAUUGAUUUUGAAGGCCUCAGAAUCAGAAGCAUAAAAAAGCUGCUUCUUAAAAUCUGAUUCUGAUUUUGGACACAAACUUCAAAUUUUUAUUUUAAUUUUAAAUCAAUGUUUAAAUUUAAAUUUAAUUUUAAAUUUUAAUUUUCAGAUUCAUUUUUGAAUUUUUAAAUUUUAACUUNNNNNNNNNNNNNNNNNNAUUUUUAAAUUUAGAUUUAUAUUUUUAAAUUUUAAAUUUUAUAUUUUAAAUUUCAUUUAAAUUUUAAAUUUAAAUUUUAAAUUUUAAAUUUUUUAAUUUUUUUAAUUAAAAUAUCAAAAUUUAAAUUUUGUAACAAUUUUUUAAUUUAAAAAUUUUAAUUUUAAUUUAUAUUUAAAUUUAGAUUUUAAAUUAUUUUAAAUUAAAAUUUAAUAAAAAUAUUAAUAUAUGCAAGCAUCAAAAAAAUUUGUCAAACACCUUUUCAAAAUCACUUCAGAAAAUUCGCUUUUAUCUAAACUCUGCCAAACGUUCUACAGCUUUGAACCAAAAUCACUUCUCUAGACCAAAAUCACUUUUUCAGAAAUCACUUUUUCAGAAGCUAGGCCAAACGGGCCCUUAUUCUUCCUUGGAAGGUUGUUCACGCUAAGUAUGUCUAUCUAGGGUUUUUAUCUAUGUGUAUAUGUGUUGGGGAGAGGCAUAGUGUUAGGAAUCCGCCGCUUACACUAAUACCAGAUUUUCUUUGAUACUAGUUUGUUAUGAUAAAAGUGGAAAAGAUUUAGUUCGUCGGGCGCGAAAAUGCCAAGAGAGAAUCGAGAAAGAGAGAAAAAAAAAUAAAGCACACAUAUAUAUCCGUGGUUCGGCCGCUGGCCUAUAUCCAUGGGCGAAGACACAUUGGAGAUCUUCAUUAUAUUAAAGUGGUGUACAAAAUAUGCCUCUCUCAUAAAACCAAGUCCCAAAAAUACAUCCAUACUCUCUCUCAUCUGCCGCACCAAAUCAAUGGAAUAAAAGGCAUAUUUAUAAUAGUGGCUAAAUCCUAAUACAAUUAGGAAUACAAAUCUACUAUGAUCAGGAAUAAUCUCAAUUAGAUUAGGCAUAAUCUAAACUUAACUUAAUGGGAUAACCAAAACAGAAUAGGUUUGGAAAACCUUGCGCUUCCAGAAUUCGAGUCAUCUAACAGGUGGCGUGUUUUAUUAUGAAGUGUGAGUACUACUUUGUUUAAGUGGCUGGUUUACCCUAUAUGCCAUUUUUUUUUCAACUCCAAUCUUGAUCUACUACUUUUUCUAGCAUUUGUUCCAUUACUUGUGUUUUACAGCUUAGAUCUGGUCUUAUUUGUGAAGGUUCUUGAAUGCAAUGGACAUGGCUUACGCUGCUGCUGAUGUUGUCGUUUCAAGAGCUGGUGCAAUGACUUGCACUGAGAUAUUGGCCACUGGGAAACCGUCAAUUCUGGUACUAAGAAAACUAUCCCAUUCUAUUGUUUAGACAUUGUAUUCGUAAUUCCCUAUCUAAUAAAAUUAAGCCAUAUUAUUGUUUAGACAUCAUAUUCUUAGCUCCUAUCUGUUCUUGUGUUAUUAAGGAAACAUAAUGCAUAACAGCACAAGCAUUUUAUACUUAUUCUCCACUUUAAGUUUGAAUUCCUGUUAUGGAAAGCAAUAGAACUAAAAUUUCUUUAUAAAAUAAGUGGAAUUUUCGAUAUUCUUGUAUGCAGAUACUAUUUAUAACCCUCCCCAUUGAUGGGAAAAAGAUAUAUAGGCCAUAAAUCAUGUAGUUAGGUUUGGAGAUGAAAAAUUUAGAGGUCCAUUUUUGGCUAGCACUGUGUAUAUUUCAGAAUUCUCUACUCAUUUAGAGUGUUGCUUUUAACUAGUCAGAAAAUGUUAAUAUACCAAGUCAUCUUUAUCAUGAUUUUUUUCUCUUCGAUUUCCUAGGCCUAAAUUUUAUGAAGUACCCUUUCUCUUCAAAGGGAAAAAAUCCAGUUUGUACAUUAUACAUUCUUAUGUGUUGAGCCUAGACGUGAGGGGGAGUGUUGAAUAUAAAUAUUAAAAACACUGUUCGUUGACAGCUAAAGCUUUUAGAGAAAAAUGGUUGUUUCACAUAAUUCAACAUUAUGUACUGCCAAUUAGAUAUUUUGUUGAAGCAUUUUUAAAUAUUAUUUUUGCAUACAUUGAGAAUUAUGCAAUAUUUCUAUUGUUAAGUCAUAGCUUCUUGAUCAUUUAACUAGAUCUUCAUUCUGAAGGAUGUUUUAACUGUGGGGAAAUUUAGGGAGUGGCAGUAGCCCAUAAUCACUGCAACAUCAACUAUGUUCGUCCUUAUGUUGAGUCCCUAUAACUCAGAUUAAAUGUGCAACCCAAUUGUGCAUACAUAUCACUGAACUUAUGUUUUAUUUAAAAUCACUCUCAUAAUAUAAGUAAAACAAAUAAAAGCAGCGCGUUGAAGGAAUAUUUAGCUAGUUGAUAUCUGUAUUUGAACAAAUUUUUCUAAAAACUAAUGUUGGACAUUUCACGAAGAACCCUUAAACUAAUUCUGCAAAGUUUGUAUCAAACAUUGCAUUACGAAGCCCUAGAUGCUUGCUGGGUCAGAUGACAGUACUCAAAUUCUAAUACUUGUCUGUGUCCAAAUCAUCAUUCCUAAGAUGUGCUUUUAGCAUUUGGAGCCUUCAUUCUCUCAUCUUGUAUGUUCAUAGAUAAUUUAAUACGCACAUUGUAUUUAGCAAACCUUUACAUCUGUAUUCUUACAUCUUCUCUUUUUAACUACUACUUGUCUUAUUAUAGAUUCCCUCGCCUACAGCUACGGAUGAUCAUCAAACAAAAAAUGCAUAUAUUAUGGCAGAAGUAGCUGGAUCAAAGGUCUUAACAGAAGAUGAGCUUGAUUCAAGUAGUCUUGCAACUGCAAUUGAUGAAAUUUUAGGUAAGUUAGAAGUCUUCUUUUUAUAUCUGUGUGCUUUUAGGCUAGCAAGCUACAAAACUACCAGUCUUCUUUCCAUAAGAAUAGAAGGAAUUAGUAGAUCAUGUUAUCAAACUAAAUAUUGGUAUAUCAAUCACAGACUUUGUACUUGGUGCCAAAAUUUAUUGGUUUCUUUUUUUAAAUUUACCAUCAGUACGCAUAUAUUUAGAUAUUCCUCUUUUAUCAAAUUAGAUGUUUGACUUGUUAUAUGCAACCGCGAUGAAUAACUAGUACAUUCAUUCAAAUUGCAAGCUUUUAAUGGAAUCUAUAACCUAUAUUAGCAGACUAAUUUUCCGUAGGUUCCCCCAAGCAAGGUUGAUGUCAUUGAGAAUUCAUGCAGAGCUUGAAUUAGGAGCUUUUUUUUUCCAGAUCUCCUAAAAUGGUUUGUAAAAUACCAGGGGCAUGUCAAAAGGUCCGAAAAGGAAGUCGAGAAUCUAGAGUUAUUACUUCUCUUUCUUUUCUUGAGAGGUUAGACUAUCUUAAACUUUACCUAGGUUACAUGGACAAAGACACAAGACACGACAUGACUCAAACUCAACGACUUGGCAACUCCAAAAGAAAUAGGACACGGACACGGACACGGAAAGGACACAGUUAAUAAUAAUAGUAUUUUAAUAUAAUAAUGCACAUUUAUCAUGUAUAAAACAUCAAAUUAGUGAAAAUAUUGCUACAUUUCUCAUACAAAUGAAGGAAUAUAUAUUUCUUAUUCAUAGUUCAUCUAUUUAGUGAAAGGAAAGAAGUUUUUCACUAUCCACAUUUAAUCUAUAUCCUCCAAAUGAAUUUGUGUAUGGUCCCCAAAAGGCCAAAAUGUUUACUACCUCCUAACUUAUAUGCCCAAAAAAGAGCAAAAUAAAAUGUGUAUUAUUAUCUAUUUUAGUGUGAUGAAGCUUCAACAUCUUCAUCAUCAUCACCAUUGACAUCAUCGGUAAGCGUAAACUUCUCCAACUCUGAACCAUUGAGUGAAAGAUUAGCCAACUCAAAAUACUGAUGUCAUCAAAAGAGUAGAAACUAUUAUUAGUGAUAUUUUACAUAUUAGUGUCUCCUUGAUGUUGUAACUUUCUUCCUGACAAAAGAUGCAAGUUGGUAUGAAGUAUGAACAAAUACUAGAUCUUCUGCAUGUUAUGGUGCUAAGUUUUCUUCUCAAAGGAAUAAAUUCUCCAAUUCCUCUCACAACAAAGAGGAGGAACUAGGGUGUCUGAAUAAUUUGAGAGCAAGAGUUUGUAUAGUAGGUGCAUGUACACUAUGAAUAAGCGAUCAUGACUUGGCAUCUAGUACUUCUUUAUCAUGGAGAGACUUAUCACACCUGGACCUAAUUUUUCAAAUCCGGAACCUGACAACUGGCCACAUACUUAGAAAAUAUUUUUCCCUAAGCAUGAAAGGCCAAAUACAAAGUUCCUUUUACAUAUACUUUCAUAAAACAAAAUAUAAAACUCUUCAAAGUAAAACUACCAUAUGCUUCAAAACAAAAUAAAAUAAAUCGUUCAAAUAAAAAUAUAUUCAAAGUCCUCUAUGUCCUUAAACUAAUGUCACAUCCUCUACCGUAACCAUUCUUCCUGACUUCCUACCUGAUACUGUCAAAAACCCUUUGUAAGUGAACAUUCUUCAAGAUUUAUGACCAUCAAACAGUAAUGAGAUAAACAAAAUAAUUAGCGGAAUAGUAUUAUGCGUCAUAUAAAUACAAGGAAUAGUAUUAUACUAUUAUGCACUUUGUCGUAUGCAUAAUUUAUUCUUAUAUUCACAAGUAACCAUAUAACAUCCACAAAUUGUCAUAUUCACAUUUUCAAUUAUUUUCUCAUUGUUUCUCAUUCCUGAGGCUCCUGUCCCAGAACGAAUUAGUUCCCAUUUCCCGAGGCUCGUCUCCCAAAGCAAUCUUCUUUUUUUUGAGUUAAUUCCCAAAGGCGCAUACACUCUCUAGAGAUCCCAACUCCCGAAGGAGAAAUAAUUUUCAUUGCCCAUAUCCUCUAUAGAGUUCCCAAGAUUCAUUUUUUUGAGUGUAGUAGUUCUCAUUCCUGAGCCUCUUUUUCCAGAGCAAACUCCUAUCCCGAAGCGAGAUUGAAUGACAACUCCUCAGUGUAGAUGCCACACUCCAGUACAGAAGCCCAACCAAGAGAGCGACAGAUCCAUUGCACGGACAAAGUCUUCUCCCAUACGUGCAAUGUGUCGGGUCAAAACAGCCUCUACAACAAUUUUAUAAUUUGCAUAAUACAAAGAAAAACUCUUCGAGUGAGUCACUUACGCUACUUACCUAUUUUAAACACAGUUGGAUACCAAAAUUUUAAUAAUUACAAAUUCUUCUACUUAUCAUAAACCUUUCUUAGCUUCUUUAAAAUCAUACUAAUCACAUAAAGUUUAAUUAAAUUAUAUAUUCCAAUAUUCAUUCCAAAACUAGCAUUUUUAAAGUUUUAAUACUUAAUUCUUUAACUUCUAAAAUACUACUAACAAAAUUCAGAGCUAUUUAGAUUCUAGCUAUUUUCUUGCUUUCUCACCAUCUGGUCCGCUACCACUAUCUAAAGCAUUACCUAUAUAAAAAGAAAUGGAAGAGGGGUGAAAACUUUAUAUAGUAGUUUUUAGUAGGUACAACUACAAAAAGAGCUGAUAUGUACUCACUAGGUCCAAUUACAGGUAUAAUAGAAACAAGCAAAAGUAACUGUAUAAGUGAUGACAAUAGAAAUUAGAUAAAUAGUGAAAUGGAUAGUAACUAUUCAAAGAAUACUAUGCCUCUACUACCAUUACAAGUUAUGUCACGCGCCGAGCUACAGGGGAAGCCUCCGGGUACACCAACAGUUUGUCGUAUGUAGUAGGACGCACCCUGCGUAUACGAAGCGUCUACAACUAACCUGUCCAAAAUAUGUAACAUAAGUGUAUAUAUAUAAAACAUGUAUCAGCGUCUAAGUACCACUAUACAAAUAUAGCUAUUACUGUACAUAGAUCAUCCAUACAACUCCAAAAUAAUAUACAACUCUGUCGGCCUCCUCUGGCUCAAUAUGUGCAGUCAGCUAUAUAGAUAUACAUCAGGUGGUCCUCCUCUAGCAUAUAUCUGGGUAGGAUAUGCUAUCUAGCUCGCGAUCUUUCUACCUCGAUCGGUUGCCGGCAUUGAGGGCUCUAAAAUAAAAACAAUAAGGGUGAAAACUGCUGAAAAAUCGUUUCUAGUGGGUACAGUCGACGAUAGCGACGACCUACACCACUAGGUAUAUCAGAGUUUCAAUAGUAAAAACUGAACUGAAUAAAUAAUGAUAUACUGAACUGGAAUAAACAAUUGCUAUUAUCAACUGCUAUUAUGCCUCUACAACUAAAUAUUGGAAAUUGUAAAUCAGGUAUCAUAUGCAUCAAACUGAAAUAAUUGAUAAUGAUAACCAAUGCCAUAUUACCCAUUCGCAUUGACCGACUUAACAAGUCCGGUCAAGCCUGUGCUGUCUCAUGUCCAGCCCCCACCUAUUGUGGUUCGCUACCAUGUAGCUCACUGUCACAAUUGUCUCACUAGGCUAACCUCCGAAAGGCCAUUGGCAGGGUAAGACCCCAACCGAGUAUUAAUAUUAAUAUCAUAUCACAUACGCUGUCAAGCUCAAUUUGACUUUGCAGACUAUAGUCAUAUUUGAUGAUCAACAAGUCAUAAUCAUACUAUGAUGAUCAACGAGUCAUAAUCAUACUAUCAUGUGCCCCCUUGGCUCUUUCAUAUCAUAUCUCACCGUCUUUUAUAGUUUAUUUGCCCUUUCGCAUUUUUUUUCAAUUUUCCACGUCCUGUGCUUCCUGGCACCUUUUUACAUUUUCUCACAUAUUGCAACACAUAAAUAUGAACGCAGAAAAAUUGGUCUCAAAAGAUAGAAUACAGCUCAAAUAUGUUGACAGUGUACUCAACGAAGUAAUGAAUUCAAUUCAACCAUGAUCUCUCUAUCACAGUCAAAGUAGAUGUUACAGUAUUGCUAUCAUGAUCAUAAUUAUACCAAUAAGAUCAUCUACAUUUCACAAGAAUAUGCGACAUGUAGACAGUGAUUAGUUCGCCGAUUUCGGUGUGACAAAAUACCCAUCUAGUAGACGCUGCAAAGAAGGCAAAGAGGGUACGCUUGACACCCCUCAACAGCACCACCAACACUAGCAACAAAAAUCCAACAUACUCAACUCUUGAUCAUACAACCAUGAUACUCAAUUACCAACUGUUAUACUACAAUUAAUUAUACUCUUGCUUUCAAUCUUUAAACACAUCUGUCACUUACCUCAAAUCCAAUAUACUCUCCUGCUCACUCGACAGUAACAAUCCGCAGCUGCGUAUGCUCCUUAGAUCACCAACAAGAACAGGGAUCAACUUCUGGGCCCUCCUAAUAAGAGCCCUAAACUUAGUUAGGAGGAGAAAGAUAGGAGAAAGUAAAGAAGAAAAGGCUGGUUAGUUGGUAGAUGAAGAAAGAGAUUUAUAGGUCUAUAACAAUGGCAAAAGAGCCCUCAAACAAUCCACAGAUGCCCCUCAGUCCAGAACAAGAUUCGGGCGCCCGGAACCAUAUUCAGGCGUCCGAUUCCUCAUAGUUCAAUGGUUUCAGGCGUCCCCUGUUGCAAUCGACCACCCAAAAAUUACGAAGCACUUCUAGCUCAGCCUUUCGGGCGUUUGAAAACUCACGUAGUGACUCACCAGCUCACUGCUUGCUGCCUUUCACAACCUUAUCCUCAAACUUUCUGGCAGCUACAGUGCCUCCGGGCGUUUGCAACCUCGUGUGAGCACUGAUUUCACCCUUUCGGACCAACUUGCAACACAUAUGGGUGUCUGAAACCUCCACUUGAAUAUUUCAGGUGUCCAGUCCACCAUCUAGAUCAUCCGAAUCCAUCUAUCUCCUCAACUGAAUUUUUGCGUGCCUACAAAGUCUUCCAGGCGUCCGGUAAUACUCUGAAACCCAACUUUCAGUGUAAUUCACUUCUAAGUUCCGUUUCCGCAUCAAUUUUGAUCCAAAGCGAAUUCAACGCAACCCAAAGAUCUCCAGAAGUGCUAAUCAGCAUCGCAUAUUGCGACCUUGCUAGUUUGCAAAGGUCUAGUAUAUUACAAGUUAUCUGUCUCAAGAGUAUGAAAAACUAAAGUUUAAGAUAUUUUGCAUCAAUUAUCCUGACAUCGACAAAUAUUAUGAUUAUUAAUCUAAUCUUAUUAGCCUACCAUUAGGACUCAGCCUUAGAGAUAUAAACCAUUCCACUAUGGAGGGAAGCACCGUAUUUAGGGUUGUAGUCUCUUUCUAAGAACAACAUAUAUCUUACUUAAGAUGGAAACUCACGGUUGCGAACCUUGCCUAAAAGUAACACCCCAGGGCUGAAGUACUCGGUGCUGCGAACCUUGUAUAGGAACAAUAGCUCUAUGCAUGUGUUCGAAGCUUCUAAACAACUUUUGUUUCCAGUGAUUUUCUAUAGUACAACACAUAUCUGAUGAGGAGCUAACAAUAUGAUGCGGUCAAUUUAGCAUUAGAGUUCAUGGAAAAGCAUGAUUCAACCAAGUUGAUUCGAAAAUCCCGUUGAGUUCGGCAAUUUUUACUAUCGGCACGGAAAAUCUAUAAACGGCCAUAACUUUUCGCUCUGGGGUUCAUUUUCAGCGUGCAACCCCAAUUUGGAGAACACUUUUUGAGAUCUACGUAUCGAAUGGCAAAGCCGUAUCGGUCGAGUUUGGGACUCAAAUUCAACUGUUUAGGCUUUCUUUUUUGUAUUUUUAAGUUAUUUUUGGAAAGUCUUGUAUUUUUUCUAUUUUGAGUCUGGUUAUUUGGUUAUUUCUAAUCAAUUUAGGUUUAGAGAUAUAUUAGAAUUUGAAGAUAUAUAUUAGAAUUUGUUAUCUUCAGUCAUAAUAGGAUUCGAAUAUCCGACCCUAUAUAUACGUGGCGUUCGGGUAAUAUAACUAGUUUUUAGAGUUGAUUAAUAAUUUUUUUCCUAUUUGUUGAAGAAUUGUGUUCUUCGUGUAUCUCUCUCUUUCCGUUCUUAUGCUUCUUCCCUCUCAAAGCUGCUUUGACUUGUGUCACUAUUUCUUUUAUAACGCAACGUUUCAUUGACACCAACUAGCAUGCUUACUUUAGAAAACAACAAAGAAAGAAAUAACACAUAAAGAGCAUAAACUAUCAAUAGAAUACAUGCUUUUCGGCAUAAUGAAUUGAGAAUAUAGAGCCAGAGUAAAAGAAUUAUAACAAAGAACUAAGAUAUGGAUUAUGCUGAAAAGAAAAUUAUUAGAUAUAUUGAGAGAUCAAAGCACCAUUAGGAUUAGCUUACCCAACCUCAAUUAGAGUAGUCCUCACUAGUUUGCGAUUUUGAGGUGUCUUGUUAGUUCUCCAAAACAUACAUAAUUCAGUGUCUUGUUACUUCUCCAAAACCUACAUAAUUCAUGUUCCUAGUUAAGUAUUCUAACUAGUUGUAUUGGAUUCAUUUUUCAUAUUAUUCUAGAUUGAACAACUACCUUAAAAGUUUUAAGUCCUUACUACUUGCUAAAAUGAGAAUUUUAUCAUUCAUUAAUUUUUCAUGAUUUGAGGUAUAUACAAACCCUUCAUGCAUAAUAAAUAGUCAUUUCCAUGAAUUUCAUACAAACACGCUUUAAAUCUAAAUUUUGAAGCUUAGAAUAUCAAUUCUAACAAAAUAAUAUUUGCAGGAAACAUCAAAUCCAAAAAUAACUAGAUAAUUACCACUAAUCUUAACCUUAAAAAUGAGGAAAGUUUUUCAUUGUAAUUACCUCCUUAAAUACCUGUUUCAAAUCACCUAACAUACGAAAACUCCAAAACUUGAAAAUUUACCCUCUUGGCUCAAUCAAAUUUUCAUAGAGUUUCAAGAUCAUCUGGCCUAUUAAAAUAAUUAUUCUUUCAUUUUUAUUUACUCUGAUUAACUGGUUAAGAGAUCCCAUCAUCAGGUUGUCACAGAAUAUUAGAGUCUUAGAAUCAUGACUAGCUCCUAUAAACAUUGUAGGAAUUUUCAGAGAUUGUUUCACCUAUAAGCUUCUCAUGCUAAAAUUCAAUUACUACCGAGUUUAUGCAACCCUGAUUGGUCAUAAAUAAAUAAUAAAGUCUAAAUUAGAACUGGAUACUGCAGUAGAACAUUCUAGCUAUCAAACUAUGUGAUUUGUUCGCGAGCUUGUAAACUGACUGCUUUUUCUAGUGGCGUGUUUGCGCUACCCUUUCUCUCAUUGCAAGGAAAACUCUCAAGUGGAAACUAAUCUUAGAAACUGUACAGGAGACAAGAAUCUAAUGGCAGAGAUGUCUGAGAAGGCACUAAGUGUGGCACGGCCGAAUGCAUCUGUUGAAAUUGCUCGAUGCAUUCUAUCCCUUGUCAACAAGCCCACUCCAAAGUGAUGAGCUGAAAAAUCUCUUGAAAAAGGGUUAAAUUUAUUCCAAUAGCUUCUUUGCUAUAGUUGCUCAUUUAAUUACAUUUGUUGUUGUUUUAUAUGAGGAAAUUUUCAUGUGGUUCUGGAGCACGGGAAGUAGGGUAGGAACUAGAAUAAUUUAUGUUAAGCUGUUAAAGCAUCUAGCUUUUGUGAUUUUGGUCUCUGUUAGAUGUGCUGGACAACUAUGCAUGUUGGGUAACACAUGUAAGAUGUAUCUACUGUUAGUGAGAAAAUGUCUUUUUGAGAAUCAGAUAUUUCAGUAAAUUCCAGAAUGUAGCAAUUCAUUGAAGUCCUAUUGCUGAAUGUUUACCAUUUGUGGAAACUGAUGCAAGUAGAAACAAGAGAAAGAAGUGAAAUCAGAAGCACCGUUAACACGGCUUGUUCUUUACUGUUAAGAAACGACAGUUAAGAGGUAAGAUUCUGCUGCAAUCUAUAAUUCAUUGUCUUUUGACUGUUGGGUUCUUCCUUAUUCGUCCGAACAACUAGUUAGGAUGAAUGUCUAUGAAUGUUAUUUGAAGUGCUUGUAAUUCCUUAUGCCAAAAAUGAUCUCCUCCAACACCACAAGCAAAUAUUACGACUAAGAGAAGGGAAAAGAACACAUGUUCCACCCUAUUAUUCGUAUACGAAACAUAUGUAUCUGCAUGUAUUUAAUUCAGUUCGUUAAUACAUGUUGAAUAUAUUUAAGAGGUGGACUUGUAUUGGUAAUUAGAGAAUAUGUUGCUUGCAUGUGAUAUUGUGAGACAAAGUGUUAGAUAAUUUGUUGUAGGUGUUUCUGAUGUUUUAGAUGAUACAACUAGGUAUAUGAAUCUCUCAGUGAUCAAGGUCAGAAUAAUUGACUCAUAAUAUGUUCCAGAUUAUGACAAUGAUUGGAAUGUAUUUUUAAUAAAUUUUUUUCUUUGUUCGAGUAUAUAAUAAUUUUUGGAUGAUAAAAAUCUGUUAAGAAACAACAGUUAUCGAAUAUAUAAUAAUUUUUGGAUGAUAAAAAUCUGUUAAGAAACAACAGUUAAGAGGUAAGAUUCUGCUGCAAUCUAUAAUUCAUUGUCUUUUGACUGUUGGGUUCUUCCUUAUUCGUCCGAACAACUAGUUAGGAUGAAUAUGUCUAUGAAUGUUAUUUGAAGUGCUUAUAAUUCCUUAUGCCAAAAAUGAUCUCCUCCAACACCACAAGCAAAUAUUACGACUAAGAGAAGGGAAAAGAACACAUGUUCCACCCUAUUAUUCGUAUACGAAACAUAUGUAUCUGCAUGUAUUUAAUUCAGUUCGUUAAUACAUGUUGAAUAUAUUUAAGAGGUGGACUUGUACUGGUAAUUGGAGAAUAUGUUGCUUGCAUGUGAUAUUGUGAGACAAAGUGUUAGAUAAUUUGUUGUAGGUGUUGCAGAUGUUUUAGAUGAUACAACUAGAUAUAUAAAUCUCUCAGUGAUCAAGGUCAGAAUAAUUGACUCAUAAUAUGUUCCAGAUAUGACAGUGAUUGGAAUGUAUGUUUAAUAAAUUUUUUUCUUUGUUUGAGUAUAUAAUAAUUUGUGGAUGAUAAAAAAUUUGUUAAGAAACAACAGUUAAGAGGUAAGAUUCUGCUGCAAUCUAUAAUUCAUUGUUUUUUGACUGUUGGGUUUUUCUUAUUCAUCCAAACAACUAGUUAGGAUGAAUGUCGAUGAAUGUUAUUUGAAGUGCUUGUAAUUCCUUAUGCCAAAAAUGAUCUCCUCCAACACCACAAGCAAAUAUUACGACUAAGAGAAGGGAAAAGAACACAUGUUCCACCCUAUUAUUCGUAUACGAAACAUAUGUAUCUGCAUGUAUUUAAUUCAGUUCGUUAAUACAUGUUGAAUAUAUUUAAGAGGUGGACUUGUACUGGUAAUUGGAGAAUAUGUUGCUUGCAUGUGAUAUUGUGAGACAAAGUGUUAGAUAAUUUGUUGUAGGUGUUGCAGAUGUUUUAGAUGAUACAACUAGAUAUAUAAAUCUCUCAGUGAUCAAGGUCAGAAUAAUUGACUCAUAAUAUGUUCCAGAUAUGACAGUGAUUGGAAUGUAUGUUUAAUAAAUUUUUUUCUUUGUUUGAGUAUAUAAUAAUUUGUGGAUGAUAAAAAAUUUGUUAAGAAACAACAGUUAAGAGGUAAGAUUCUGCUGCAAUCUAUAAUUCAUUGUUUUUUGACUGUUGGGUUUUUCUUAUUCAUCCAAACAACUAGUUAGGAUGAAUGUCGAUGAAUGUUAUUUGAAGUGCUUGUAAUUCCUUAUGCCAAAAGUGAUCUCCUCCAACACCACAAGCAAAUAUUUUUUUUUUUUUUUUUUUUUGAGAGAUAGGUAGCACGCUACCCGCUUCGUUUUAUUUCAUUUAGAAUAAACUUAGCUAGAAAUGUGAAUCAACUAGGAUUUGAACUUGGGACCUCGGGUACCAACCACCAAGCCCUUUGCCACUUGCUCUAGGGAUGGUUGGUCACCACAAGCAAAUAUUACGACAAAGAGAAGGGAAAAGAACACAUGUUUCACCCUAUUAGUCUUAUACGAAGCACAUGUAUUUGCAUGAAUUUAAUUCAGUUCAUUAGACCUCUGCAGUUUAAGCUUUAAUACAUGUUAAAUAUAUUUCAGAGGUGGAUUUGUAUUGGUAAUUAGAGAAAAUGCUGCUUGUAUGUGAUAUUCUGAGACAAAGUGUUAGACAAUUUGUUGCAGAUGUUGCAGGAGUUGCAGAAGUUUUAGAUGAUACAACUAUAUAUAUAAGUUAGGGCUUUAAAUGUCUCAGUGAUCAAAAUAAUGGACUCAUAAUAUGUUGCAGAUUAUGAGGGUGAUUGCAAUGUUUUUCAAUAAUUUGUAUUUUUCUUUAUUCGCUAGAAUAUAUAGUUAUUUUUGGAUGAUAAAAAAAUGUUGAUUUGGUGUUUGAUAAUCUUUGCAUUUUAACUAGUGCGGUCUAUGGUUAGCAUGGUGGACCUGGUUGAGUUCUUGCAUCCCUAACCAAAAUUACAGUGGCUACAAAAAAGCACCAAUACACUGGAAGUGCUUGUGUGUGUGAAAUGUGAAAUGUGUGUUUCUGUGUAAAAAAUGUGUGUUCUUAUCUCCACAUCAUUCUCUCUUCCUUCUCAGUUGCACCCCUGAGAAGUAACUGUGUGUUGCGUGUGCGCACGUGCGCAUGUGUGUGUUUAAUGAAGAUGCUUGUAGGACACAACUCUUAUCUGCAUGCAUUCAGAGAAGGCUUUUCGGCUGUUUCGACGUCAAAAUAGCUGCGAAAAUGCACUUGGGACCUAUUUGAAUGCUUUGUGUUCAGCACCUCUUGUUGGUUUACGGAGGAGGGUAUGUUGUACUUGUUUGAUUGGAAAGUAUGAAAAGAUCAUGUCUACAACUGCAUUGUAUAUGCAAUACAUAAACCCUUGUUCUUCAAAUGUGACUAAUCUCCUUGUGGGUGAAACAUACUUCAAGCUCCUUGAACACACUGUUAUUAUUUAGGAUUCAUCUUUUACUCCUUAAAGGAAAUUUAGUAUGUCUGGAGAAAUCGGUUAAACUUGGUUACUAUUCAAUGAUUGGAUUUGAUUAAAUUCAACAAUUCCGGUAUCUUGGAGAUUCUCUGAAUUUUGAAGGAAUGGCCUAUUUGUUUUUUGGGAUCUUAUAGAGAUUGAACUCGUGGCUUCGAGAAAGUCGUCAACAUCGGUGACAGCGUAGUCACGAGUUUAUCUGAACUUUCACUCACAACUGUACAGAGAUCGGCCUUUCGACUUUUGUUGGAUGUUGGGCGAAGUCGAGUUUACGAAACUCCCCGGUUUCUCACUUUCCGACUUACCGGCUUUCAAAUAGGGCCAAAUUGACCAAGGAAAAAUUCACUUCGAAACAAACAGUUUCCGAGAACAUGUGCUGGUCUCUUGAUAGGUAUGAUACCUGGAGCCCAACGUUGGAUUUGACCUGCGCAUCAAGGAAGAUCAUGCGACUGAAUAGUCAAAUUUAUCUUGAAAUAACUAAAUAGUCAGAUUUAAUUUUGUAAAUCAUAGAGUAGCAAAGUGAAAAUGCGCCCUACUAGAGGGGUGCGCAUUGAAGUUUAUCCUGAAACUUAUUAAUUAUUGGUAAGAAAAAUUUAAUUUUUUGUAAAAUUUGGAUAAUUUAAAAUCAUGUCAAAGUUUAGAUGGUUGGAAAGUUUGCUCAUCCCCGAGAAUAGGUGGGCCUAUUUUAGUUUAGCUAAUACACUGAACUGCUAGAGUGGAUACCUAUUAUUAAUUAUCAACAGUUUUUUCUUUUUUUUUUUAAGAGAAAGAUAGUAUAUUGCUCGUUUCGGUUUUUUUUUUAUUUUUUAUUUUUUUAUUUUUUUUAUUAAGACACGAACUUAAUUGAAAAUGUAAAGUAAUUAGGCUUUGAGGCUGGGUCUCGGGCUAUCAACCAUUGAGCCAUUUGUCACUUGCUAAGUUGUACUUUUCAUCCCCAAACUAUGAGCCACGUGAUACUUUGAUUCUCAAACUUUAUUUUAUUGUAAUUUCUAACUUGAACUUUUUAUACAUUUGUAAUUGAAUCUUAUCAUGAUAUUUGUUUGCUGAAUGCUGAUAUGCCGUUGAUGUGGCAAUAAUAUAGCAUUUUUAUUAUUCUUAUAUCUUUUUUUGAGAAAUAGAUAGCACGCUACUCGUUUCGUUUAUUUCAUUUAGAAAUAAACUUAGCUAGAAAUGUGAAUCAACUAGAAUUCGAACUUCGGUCUCGGGUACCAACCACCAAGCCCUUUGCCACUUGCUCUAGGGACGGUCGGUUAUAAUUCUUAUAUCAUCAACUAUAAUAAUAUUAUAUUAUUGUCAUAUUAGCGACACAUUAUAAUUUAGUCAAUUAAAUUAUAGUCUGAAACUUAAUUACAAUAAUUUAUAAAAUUUGAGAAAAAAAUUAUAGUGAGUCAUAGUUUGAGGACCAUCUAACCAAAAAUAUAUUUAUCAACAGUACCUUUGGCUCUGAACAAAAGGAAAAGGACAUCUGGGGAAAAGUGCUCAAAGGUGUCAGUGAGGUCCUGUGAAGUUGUGGAAAAGAAAAAGAAACAAGCAGCAGAAAAACCCAGUAACUCUACAGGUUACAUAGCACAGGUUUGUACCAGUAUACAGUGGAGGAUCUCUAGAUUUUAGUGCAUCUUUUCUGGGGUUUUUAUCAUGUGUGAAAUUAUUCCACUCAAGGAAAUUACUGCUUGGUUCCUCCUUUUUGAUUGGUGAAUUAGGACAAAAAUUUUAGGGAUAAUUAUCUGUAUACUCUUCAUACAUUUAAAAAUAUCCGAUUUAUUCUUUUUUUUUUCUAAAAUAUUUCUCAUAUGUUCCACCGUUAUUGUAAAAUACUCCAUACAGUUAUCUUCUAUUAAGUUAACUUGCAUUAAACGUGAGUUAAAUAUCUACCACAGUUAAAAAAAAUUAAAAUACCAAUUUUGCCCUUAAUUUAAGGGUAAAUAAGAAAUGUUGGUGACGGUAGACAGGUAUAUUUGAAAGACCAAAAGACAAAAUAUUUUUUGUGUCCUUGACUUUAAGGGGAAAUAAGAAAAGUAAGUGAUGGUGGAAGGGUAUAUUUGAAAGGGCAAAAUAGUAAUUUUAUAGAGAUAAUAGGGUUCAUUAACAGAUUUUAACUCUAAGGGUAUAUUAGAAAGAGGUUGGAACGUAAAAAAGAUAUUUUCAAUAUUAGCCUUCUAAGAGGGGUAAAUUAGAAAUUUUGACUGAAAGAUACUAAAGAAUAAUGAGAAGCUCCGAGGGAGGUGAUUCUAGUUAAAGAAAGAUCCAAAAGAAUUUGUAAAGCGCAAUCAAGAUACAUGUUCAAAUUUUGCUCGAACAUUUGCUCUCUCUACAUAUAUGUGUGUGUGUGUGAAUUGAGCUGAAAUACUAUUAAUAGUAUUUGAACUCUUUUGCUAUUCAGUUUUUAACCUUUGGAUAAAAAAUUGUAGCGUUAGGAUGAUAGUUGUCCCCUAGAGUUUAGUGGUGGUUCCUCUAGGUUGAGUGGGUGGUUGGUUGAACAGUAUAAUUUAAAGGGUGGAAUUGAUUAAAGUGUAGAUUACACGCCCAAAUAGUCUCAUAUCGGAUAGACGUCAAGGUCUAAAUAGGAGAGUUUGUAACACCCCAAUAAUUCCACAUCGGAUGGAAAAGAGGUUCUGAUUUGGUAUAUAAGAGAUCUCCAUGCUAGUAAUAAUAAUUGGACUUAAGCAUUUUGGGUUUGGUGGUUUGGGCUUAAUGAGUUAUUAUUACUAGUAGGUCAGGUCGUUACAAUUAGUAUCUGAGUCGAAAGUGUGAGAGCUAAGUGCUAUAUGGGGCAAAGGGUGCUACACUAACGGGUUUGGUGGGUCACAUUGCCUGGUAAUUCUAGUUUGCAUCUAUGAUCUGGUUUGGACCUUAAGAGGACGUUAGAGUCUAAACAUGGGGAGUUUGUAAUGUCCCAAUAGUUAUAGUCCCACAUUGGCUGGGAAUAUGAUUCUGAUUAGAAUAUAUGAGGCCUACAAGUUAAUAAUAACGACUGGACUUAAGUAUUUUGGGCUACUGGUUUGGACCCAACAAGUUAUUAUUGCUAGCAGAUCAAGUCGUUACAAUUGGUAUUAGAGCCGAAUAUUAGCCAGAAGUGUGAGAGCUAAGUGCUAUGCGGGACAAAGUGUUAUACCAACAGGUUUGGUGGGAGCCACCUCUUGAACCAGUAGGAGCCUCCCUCUUGAACCCGUAGGAGCCACCUUUAGAAUCUCACAUCGUCUGAUCUGUAUAUCUAAGUUUGGACCUGAUGAGGACGUCAAUGUCUAAAUAUGGAGAGUUUGUAAUGCACCAAUAGUCCCACAUUGAGGGUCUAAAUAGGAGGAGUUUGUAACGCUUCAGUAGUCUCACGUCGGAUGGGAAAGAGAUUCUAAUUUGGUAUAUAAGAGGCCUUCGCGCUAGUAAUAAUAACUAGGUUUAAACAUUUUGGACCAGGUGGUUUGGACCUAACGAAUUAUUAUUACUAGUGGGUCAGGUCAUUACAGUAGAUUUAAUGGCUAAAAAAUCGAUAAUAAAAAGUCCAAAUAUUAUUAAUAAUAUUUUAGCUCAACUCUCUCUCUCUCUCUCUAUAUAUAUAUAUAUAUAGAAUUUCCAUAAGAAGAUUGCAUUGGACACAUGCAUAUAUAGAAAUCAUGUAUAAAAAUGGUUGCAUGCUAUGGUACUAUUUGAUUUGAUUUUUGAAAUUAGUGCAUGAUAUAAUUUGAAAUGUUAUACUUAUACCAACUGGGAGGAUUUUAGGUUCAAGAGGAAUAAUAUGUUAGAAACUUUAUAAGAAACUAGAUCGUACCUUCUGCCAUGAUUUCGAUUUCUGUACCCGAUUUGUAAGCGGCAAUCCUUACUCGUGGUUCGUCCUCGUUCGUGAUCUGCAAGAAGACGGGACGUUUCGAGUCUAAUUCCCUUAUCCCCGGAGAUGGAGCCGUCACAGACAAUUGGAUUAGGGUUAGACCGGGACUCCCGUAUGUUACAUAUUUAUAUAUAACAUAAUGUAAGGAUGUUAAAUCACGUCCGUCCAUCAAGGACGUGUCCAGAUACAUCAUAACCGUAAGAUCUAAAAUAUCUUUAUAGAUCGACUUAAAUAAAUUGACCGUAUCUUUAUGGAUCGCCUUGAAUAUAUCACGUGGGCCACAUCCAACAUGAUAAUCUAUUUCUCAACUAAUUUUCGAACUUUGCACACUAUUGCAUUAUUGUUAUGCAAUUUGUGUAAUUGCUGUAAAUUUAUGUUGUGUUUUUUGAUAAUUUUCUGUGCGUUUUUUUUUUUAUUUUUAUGUUUGUUCAAUCAAGUAUGGUUUCAACUAAAGAAAAUAGGCCAAUUUGCAUAAAAAAUCUAUUAGUUUUGAGCUUUUGUAAAAGUAGGCCGCCUUUUUAGAUUUUGCAGAUUCGAGCCGAAUUUUCAAAAAAUUGAUCAAAAUACCCUUAUUCCUUUUUCUCUCUCCUCUUUUUUUUUUUCUUUUGGUCCGGAUUUUUAAAAAACUGAUCUUUAUAUUUUUUUUUUUUUUUUCUUUCUCUCCGAAGAGGGCGGCAGAGGUGGAGAUGGAGGCGGAGGCAGCCAGCCUCGUCUCUGUCUCGUGCGUCCUCGCCCUCGGCCUCGCUCGUACACCUUCCCUCCGCCUUUUUCGCCUUCAACCCUGCCGAGGCCGCCCCUCGAUCCUCCUUUUUUUUUUUUUCCUCCGACCCUCCUCCACCGCCUCCCCAGCUCUUUACAAUAGUAAAGAGGGCAGCGUCACGUCCUUUUCCUCUCCUUUUUUUUCUCUCGUUCUUUUUUUUAUCUUUGAUCCCCCUCUAUCGCCUUCGUGACCCUUCGCGACGGUAACGAGGAUAGCGCCAUAUCCUCUUCCUUCGCUUUCGCAGACGCAGGUACCGAUGCUGGUGUCGGAGAAGGAGACUCGAAACGAGUACGGGUGAGAGCGAUGCAAAGAAAAAAUAUAUAAAAAAUAAAAAAAUAAAAGAAUAAAGAAUAAAAUAUAAGAAAAAAUAGUUUUUUCUACAAGAAAAACAAAAUAUCAAAGAGAAAAGAAGAAGAAGAUGAAUUUGCACCAUUUCAGGAGAAUGUUACAGUAUUUUAGGAAAACGUUGUACUAUUUUUGAAAAAAUUUAUACUCUUUGAGAAAAAAACAUACUUUUUUUAAAUGAAAGUUGCUCUAUUUGAACGAAAGUUACACUUUUUGACUAAAAAUUAUACUAUUUGGUCAAGAAUUACACUAUUUCUCCUCCUCCUCUUUCUGGUCACCUAGUGUAAUUUUCGGCCAAAUAGUGCAAUUUUUGUUAAAAGAGUACAACUUUCGUUUAAAUAGUACAAUUUUCAUUUAAAAAAGUAUAUUUUUUCUCUCAAAAGGUAUAAAUUUUCUAAAAAAUAGUAUUUUCAUUUAAAAAAGUAUAUUUUUUCUCUCGAAAGGUAUAAAUUUUUUAAAAAAUAGUGUAACGUUUUAAUAAAAUAGUGCAACAUUCCCCUGAAAUAGUGUAAAUUCAUCAUCUUUUUCUUUUUUCUUUGAUUCUUCAUUUUUCUUGUAGAAAAACUAUUUUUUAUAUUUUAUUAUUUAUUCUUUUUAUUUUUUUUUACUUUCUUGUCACGCUAUCAAGUCCCUUUUGAAAGGCAAUUCGAAAUCAGGCUAUCUUUAUAAAUCCGAGUAAGCGAAAAGCUGUCUCUUUUUUUUUUGAAAUCUGGACCCCAAAGAAGCGCAACAAACCCGCCACAAAUAUAAGAAAUUUUCGAAAACAAACGGCCAGAGUCUUCCUUAUAUUUGCACGGCGUAGCACAUAAUACAAUUGAACAACCCGAUCUUCAUUCACGCACACAACAAAAAGAUGUAUAAGGAUCAACUCAUUUCAACACACAGCUAGAUGUCCUUAGUAACAUCCAUUCCACAUUCAUCCUAGUAGAGCAAGUGGCAAAGGGCUUGGUGGUUGGUACCCGAGGUCCUAAGUUCGAAUCCUACUUGAUUCACAUUUCUAACUAAGUUUAUAUCUAAUAAAAUAAACGAAGCGGAUAGCGUGCUACCUAUCUCUCAAAAGAAAAAAAUAAUGAAUAACAUCCACCGAUAAUCACCAAAGGAGCUAAUGGUAUGAAUAACUGCUACUGCAAGGGAAGAUAGAGAAAAGACCAUGCAUCAACUGCAAUUGAUAGCACAAGUAUACCAAAUUUAUACUGCCGUGUUAGUUUAGGGACCUCAGGCAAACCACAACCGUUCUGUCUGGCAUAUAACCUUAACAAAUGGCCACUGGGCUCAUGGGUUGGCAACCAACCACUUUUUCGAAAAAAAACACCCUCCUGCAGGGGAUCAGUCUGCUGGUGUUCGUGAAAUGCUGUCGAGCUGUGGCGAUCGAUGUGAAUAUGAUCAAUAGCCAAUCGUCAGUGAAUAGCCGACAAUCACUGCCCCUCGGGGUAUACCGACCAAUAGGUCAUCGAACUAUAAGGGAACAUGAGUACUGACCACGCAAGUCAACUAGGAUGGAACAACUCAACAUCUUCUCAAGUAUAUACAAGUACCGACUACUCAAGUCAACUAGGAUGGAACAACUCAAUAUCCUCUCAAGUAUGUAAGUACCGACCACUCAAGUCAACUAGAAAGUACGAGGUCAACAACGACAGGAGCAUAAAGGAAUCGACCACUCUGGUAAACUAGGGUGUAUCCACGAAAAUAGACCUCUCAGGUCAAAAACGACAAGAGUAUAGGGGAACCGACCACUCUGCUCAACUGAAAAGUGUGAGAUCAAUGGCACUAUAAGUAUAUAGGCACCGACUACUCAGGUCAAUAGGAAAAUAAAUGCAAGUGUCACUACCGCUCUAUUUCUAUGUCAUGAGAAAUGGGAGAGUAUACUGAGUAGAGUAAGGGUCGAAGUCAUGUGGUGAAGAGCUCAAAUAUUGAAUAUGUAUAAGUGUAAGCAGUAAAAAAUAGGGAUGACGGGAACAUCAGCGAGCGUACACUACUGAACUGACUUCGGAUCGAAGUACUCACCUGUGUAUGUUGUCGUGUCUAGCUCCUGCGAGGUGAGGGACGCCGACCGGACCACGACUGGUCCACCGAGUCAGGAUCAAAUCCACAUGAUUCAAAACAUAUCGCUUACAAACCCAAAACGGCCUGCGAAAUCGGUUUUCCAAAACUUAUCCCGGAACUCGCCGGGAGUCUCGAAAAUGCACCGGGAUGCCCCCUGGGCCCACGUAACAUCCCUAAAAGCACCAACUCACACCGGGAGUCACCCGCUGUCCAAAAACACACCUAUUUGGGUGUUCGGACAGCAAAUACAAGUUUCGAAGUCAACUUGGUCGUUGCCGAUUCAUCAGAUUUGAAUUGUUUUACACCGUUAAAUUCACAAACGCAUCACAUCGCUAUGUUGAGCUCUUUUGGGUUGAAAGUUUGGCCGACAGGUGCAACCUUGGCGGUCUAAGGCCUUAACUAUUUCUCCAUCCUGAGAAUGACUUGGAAAUCCUCUAAGGGUACCGACAUGAACUUGGCUUUCACCCCACCAUGAGUCGACACCAACAAGCACCUCCCUCGCAAGACUCAAUAAUCUGAGCCUCCGAGCUCCUCGCUGUUAUCUGACUCUCAUCCAUGCAUAGUGUAAGUUUGAACCACCCGGCUUCACCAGUCGCAAAGAAUUAGUAGCCAAAUAAUAUCGAAAAUUUAUGAAAUUUAGUUUCCAAAUACUUUUAAUAGUGUAGAUCAAAUCUAACGGAGUCAAUUGUCGAUUUGGAAGCCACAUCAUUGAAAACAAUUUGGUACCACGGAGACUUCCGUGCUACCGAUAAUAUAAUAGUCUAGCGCUCUCUCUGUCUAUUUCUAUAUAUAUAUAUAUAUAUAUAUAUAUAUAUAUAUAUAUAUAUAUCAACAAUAUCUCCAGCUCUAAACGAAAGGAAAAAGACAGCAAACACCUGGGAGAAAGUGCUCCUGGUCACAAGAUACAGGCGUCAGUGAGGCCCUGUAAAGUUGUGGAAAAGGAAAAAAAAUAAAAUAAAAUAAAACAAACAAACAACAACAGCAGCAGCAAAAACCUGACAAAACCAACAACUGCUGCACCAUAAAUUAGCACAACCAACUCUAUUGGUCACACAGAACUGGAAACAAUGCCACAGUUCAUAGGAGAGGACCUCUAUUACAUUUAUUAUUAUUAUUAUUAUUAUUAUUAUUAUUAUUUUCUGGGUGGGGUUUCACCAUGUGUGAACCUAUUCUACUCAAAGAAAUUACAGCUGAGGUCCCCCCACGUCAGAUGGGUAAAUUUUAGCAGGGCCAAGAGUGGAUCUGAUUCGGAUCCAGAUUUCAGAUAAUAUAUUGUGUUCGUAUACAGACCCGGUUUCUGAUAAGACAUCUGAAUUCGGACCCACCCGUUGGACCCGAUAUUUAGUUAGAUUUUAGAAAAAUUUAUAGAUAAGAAAUCAAAGUAUAAUAUAUGUGAAAAAACAAAUUCAGAAAUAUUUCAAGUUAUAGGGAGCAAUUGGAAAUAUUAGUCUUGUACAAGGACUAACCAUACAGUUACUCCCUUAGGAUCCAACGGCUGCAAUGGUGCCACGCAAGUGGAGCCCACAGCUAGUCUGAUGGUGGAGAGAAUUAUCAUGGGUGGCCCAGCAGGUUAGGCUGGAUUCAUCACUUUGUGAAUUGUCUCGUACAUGCAGAGAACUAGCGAUGCAAAUGGAUUUGAGUUGAUAGAGCUCCUAUAUAUCUUGAACAUGCUCCGAUCUGCAAAGAAAAUAGAGUGGGUGGUGGGAGGAUUUUUCUUCUUUUACUUCAUUCCGAUUCAUCAAAAAUCCAUUAAAAAUCUGCUUCCACUCCAAACUACACCGAUUAAUGGACGGGCAAAUAAGAGCAAAAAAAUAGAAUAAAAAUCAAUCGGUCCUAAAUCCGCCACGGCCGGCCAAAAAAAAAGACCCCCCCUCUCUCAGAUUCGCCUCGUUUGCAUCCCUACAUAGAAACUGUAGCACAAGUACUAUGCUUCAGUGUAGUUGCAGAAUAAGUGGAGUAUAAGUCUGUUGAACAAAGGUAGUUUUUAUGGGCUAAAUUAUAAAAAUUCCCAAUGCCUUGUAGCUUAUGUUCUCUGUUGAAUAUAAAAUAUAUAAACAUUAGUCUCUAAUAGCUUAAGUGCUUAAGUUUUUAUAGAAUAACGAUUAUUUUAUAUAAUUUAACAUAGUACCAAAAUAAUAUAUUUUGAAUUCGAGUUCCACUAGACUACUAGCGUUAUUGUAUUAGAAAUUAUGUCAAUUUACAUGCUACAUUUUGUCUCCAAUUCAAAUAAAUCUAAAUUUGAGAUAACUAUUGCAUUAGUCUGUAAAAUUUUGUAGAAACAAAUAUGCAGAUGGUAUUAGUUAACUCGUUUAAGUAAAAUUGGCCUUUGUUAAUUCAUUUUAGUAAAAUACCAAAAUUUGACAACUAAAUUUAGUAACUAUUCUAUAUCUUUUGGUCUAUUCAAGGAGAAAGUCUAUUAUGUAGCAACAUGACAUCAUCUAUAACUAGCGAAUCGCAUCUCUCUUUUAGAGAAAAAAGUAUAAUAAAAAUAUUUUUUUUAAAAAAAUCAAUGAUAAGAUAGAUGAACCCUAGGAAAGCAAUUAAAUUAGUUGGAGAACACCACAUCAGUAAUGAGACGGCUGUAUUCUAAACCUUUUUUGAUUCAACACAUUAGCAAAGUACAAGGCAAAAAUUAGCAUAAAUUUUAAUGUAGGGAGGUACUUAAGAUAUUGCCUAAAGUGCAUGAGAGAUUUUUAUAAUUUAGUCUAAUAAUAAAGGCUAAAAGGGUACACCCAAGAUAAAAUUGGUGCCAGAGCUGCCAACUACCAAAGCUAAACUAGAUUUCUAUGGCCUAUAAUUGAAUGGCUAACAAAAGAAGCCCUAGAAAGGCAAGACAAAUCAUACUUCAACAGCCUUUUGCUGCAUGAUGUAAUAAUCACCAUAAAGUUCUGUUCCCCACCAUCCAACUCAAAAGCACUACCAUGGUAUGCAAAUUCAAGAUGCUCACAUUAUGAGACAUGGCCUGUUCUCAGAUAAAAUGAAAAAAAAGUAAAUUAAAGGGCACAGAAAUUCUCCUGUUCAUACAUAAUGCAAUGUACCUUGUGGUUCUGUUCAUACAGAGCAAAAUUCAGCAGCAGUAGAUAAUUUUUCUGAAAAUGAAACAGGUUACAACCACAAUUAGCAAUAAUAUUCACUCAGAUGAAACAAAAAAGGAGGAAAAAAGGAAAGAGUUAUGGCCAUAUUUCAUAUGUUUCAACCAUACUAAGUAAUCCAACAUUAGUAGAUUAAAAUUUCACUGAAACUGAUUUUGUUUCAGAAUACAACACUGAACAGACCAAAACAUCAGUUACUAAAAUUUUCUAUGGCUCGGCUUCGAAGUGAUAACAUAGAACACGGAAGAGAACAAGACAUAAUAAGUUCAGCAGCAAAACCAUCAAUAUUUCACAUUUACCAUGUUCAAUUGAACAUACAAACAGUGAAAACAUUAGAUACAUUAUAUAUAAAGCAGCAUCCCAAACAAAUACAAAACUAACACUGUUAAUAUAAAACAUUAGAUCUUCCUCUAUUUAUUGAGCUAAGGAAGAAAAGGGCUCGAUAUUCUUUGAGCUCAUCAAGCUUCAUUACUGUUCUCCUCUUUUGGCUUGCUUACGUUCGAUGAUGAAUUUCUUUGGGUUGGAGAAUGUCCUUUUAUGGACAAUUUUCUUCGGCAUAUCGAUUAGAAAAUGAGGCAACUCCCGUACAACCAAGAACCACGAUCCUUUGUCCGCAAAGUACUUCUAGCGUGAAUUCAUUAGCCUGUCCAAUGUAUCGACAACAUGCCUCAUAGUCGGUCUUCUUUCUGGAUUAGCUUGAACACAAGCCAAAGCGAUUUUAAGCACCGCAAUCAUCUCGUCUUCUCUAUCGACUUCUCUACUAAGGGAUGGAUCUAAGACAUCAGCAAGUGGUUUCUUCUCCUCGAUACAAGAUUGUACCCAUCGAACUAAAUCUAUUUCUAGGGUUUCCAAUAGAACAACCGGUGACCUACCGGAGAUCAUCUCAAGUAAAAUCACCCCGUAGGAAUAUACAUCCCACUUUUGGGAAGGUUUUAACGUUUUCAAUGCUUCCGGCGCUUGAUAAAAUGAUCCUUUGCUCACAAGAGGACUAACUGAGAUAUCGGAUUGUUGGGUCGGAGUCUUUUCUGCAGCCAUUCUAUCUGAUUGCAAGAACGGCGAUCCUCCUGCUAUGUUGGCGAGACGGCCGAGGCCAAAAUCGGAAAUAUAUGGCUCCAUGUCCAUUCCGAGAAGUACAUUGUUGGGUCGGAGAUCACCGUGAACGUACUUCUUCGGGCUAAAUUCAUGCAGAAAUGCUAAGCCCCUGGCUAUUCCUUGCAUGAUUUUUAGUCGAACGUCCCACAAUAGCGGUGUAAAUGCAAUAACUCCGGCUUUCCCUGAAGAUAAGUACGUAAUCACAAACAAAUAAAAUGAUGUUAAGCUAACAUAAAUUGUUUAAGACAUCACAGUUUCCUCUACACACACACAUGCACAUUUCCAUGAUAAGAUAGAUAUCCACAAUUUUCUCUGAAAUAAACAAUUUUAUGCAUUUUUCUCAAAAUAACAUAAUUUUAUGAUGUAUUAUUACUCGAUCAAAUUACUCAAGAAAUUAGAUUGACCGCGACCUGAAUUUCGACAAGAGGUUGCUUGCUUCAGACAUGCACACAUUUUCCUCUAUAUUAUCUGAUUGAGCAUAACUGAUAUUACAAUAAAGCUUUUGUUUUUUGCAUUAUUUUCUCCCAGGAAACACAUUAUAGUAGCAGAAACUACGAUAAGACCGGUAACAUUUAAUCAUGUAAACAGAAUUGGCAGUUUAAGCACUUACCAUGAAUUGCAGCAGUGAGAUUUCCAUUAGGAAUGUAGUCAUAAAUUAGCAACUUCUCGUCGACCGACCAAUAAUAAGCUCUCAAAGUAACAAUAUUAGGAUGCCGCACUUUCCCAAUGGCUUCGACUUCCGUCUGAAACUCCUUGAACCUCUGUAACCCUCCUUCACCAAGCCUCCUCACUGCUAACGUCACACCGUCCUCCAUCACCACCUUGUACACGAUUCCUAUCCCGCUUUUCCCCAACACGAAAGCCGAAGCCUUCAAAAGCUCAUCUAAAUCGAAUCUCACGUGCCGAUCCAACGGCACUAAAUCGUAUUGCUCGAUGUCCUCCGACGGGGUCUCCGAUUCUUCCUUCCUGAAGCAAUUACAAUCCUUUCUACACUUUGUACCCUUAUCGGAGUUCCCACCCUCUUCGUUCUCUCUAGAAGAAAUCGCCCUCCAAUAACAAUAAAAGAAUAGCAACGCUAUAAGACCGAUUCCGAUCACAUCACUCACGACUAUCGCAACCACCGCAUUUCUACUCAACCCUUUCGUACGACCACUUCCGGUCAAAUUGGCACUGGCUUCGACCCCGGAAGGCGAGUAAUUGCUAGGUAGAAACGGAUUGGACGACGGGACAUCAGAAGAGCAAGGGUUCUUCAAUGGAGGGCCGCAAAGGCCCGGAUUCCCGAUAAAGGCGGUCGGACCUCUAUUCUCCAGAGCCCCAUUUUGCGGUAUCGGUCCGCUGAGAUUGUUAUAAGUAAGGUCUAUGUAGACCUUCUCUGGCAAAUUCCCGAGGCUUGGGGGGAUCGAACCGGAGAAGAGAUUAUGCGAAAGAUCGACCGUGCCCUGGAGGCUCGAGAGGUUACCGAUAUCGCUCGGGAUCGGGCCGGUGAACUGAUUGUAAGAAAGAUCAAGUUUCUCCAAUGCAAGCAAUGAGCUCCCGAAACCAUCGGGCAACGAGUUGGUGAAGUUGUUGUGGCUCAAAACUAGGGUUUUGAGCCUCUUGCAUUGGAUCAAUGAGUAGGGCAAAGAGCCAUCGAGGAGAUUAUGUGAAAGGUCGAGGAUUUGGAGGUAAGCGAGGUUGCCGAUCUCCGGCGGGAGGGGCCCAUAGAGGGAAUUGCCAUAAAGGACCAAGCUUUGGAGCCCCACGGCGGCGAACAAGCCGGAAGGAACGGGGCCGAAGAGCCGAUUGGUCCUUAGGUUGAGGUGCCUGAGUGAAGUGAGGGAGCCAAGAGAGGAGGGGAGGGAACCCACAAGCCUCUUCUUGGGCAAGCUCAGGGAGACAACUAGGGCACUGAUGCAGGUGACCCCAUUCCAUGAGCAUGGGUUUGGGUCAGAGGAGUUCCAGUUCAAGAGGGAGUUUCCUGGGUCCUCUCUAAUGGAGGUUUUGAAGGUGAGAAGAGCAAACCCUUCACCAUUCAGAGCAUGGGAAGGUGGAGCAAGAACAAGAACAGAUGGAAUCUUUCAGGAGGCUUACCUCUGCUGGAGAGAUUUGUGAGGAAAUGGGGGAGGGUUGGGUUUUGGAGGAGGAUGAGAGAAAUGUUUAGAGAGAGAGAGAGAGAGAGAGAGAGAGAGAGAGAGAGUNAACAACACUAGUAAGCUCCAAAAUGUAGCAGAAACAAAGAAAGAUGGAAUCUUUCAGGAGGCUUACCUCUGCUGGAGAGAUUUGUGAGGAAAUGGGGGAGGGUUGGGUUUUGGAGGAGGAUGAGAGAAAUGUUUAGAGAGAGAGAGAGAGAGAGAGAAUGGGGAAGAGGGAAAAAGGAACAGGGAAAAGUUGGAGAGAACUCCACUAAGGGGAUUAAAAAAAAAAAAAAAAAAAAACACACACACCAUAUGGAUAGAAGUGUCUGCACACAAAGCCCUAUUCUUAAUGUUGAGUUGUUCUCAAUCAGGUGAGUAUAAGGAUAGGGAUGGGUAGGGAUGCAAACGAAGCGGAUCUGAAAGGAAGGCGAGAGACUCCUGUUUCGCCUCAUGCUCAACAAAUUAUUAUAUGGGUAAACUUCAAAUAUCACCUAUGUGGUUUCGUAUUUUCUUACUUUAAUACCAUGUGGUUUAAAGUGUAUCAAGUUAGUAUUCUGUGGUUUCAUUUUUAUCUUUUUGUCGGCUUUUUCGUUAAUAUUUUGUUAAAUUAUAUACAAAAAAAUAUAAGAUACCCCAUCUAGAUUUAUCGAAUAUUCACUUUGGUACUCUUUAGUUUUAACUUUGUCACUGAUUUAACAAAAAAAAUUAAUGAAAUCGAUAAUAAAAAGAUAAAAAUAAAAUCACAAGGCACUAAAUUGAUACACUUUAAACCACAGGAUACUAAAACGAGAAAGUGUAAAACCACAGGGGUAGUAUUUGAAGUUUUUCCUUAUUAUAUUUGUCUCAUCUCUCACCCUGUUUGCCAUGUCUAAAAAAUCACCUUCAUAGGCUCAUCAAAUCUUUCUUGUUAAAUUUUUAAACUAUAGUUUUGUUAUUUAAACUAAAAUAAGAUUUUAAGAAAAUAAAACUAUCAUUGAAAGUAACUAUAUUUUAAUUUGCAUUUAUAUUAAGAACAAAUCAUAUAUAGAAUGCAACAAUAUUCUAAAAAAAGGAAAGUUAUUCUAUAAUUAAAAUAUAUAUUCAGAAUGGAUUAAGAGCUAGAUUUGGCAGGACGGAUUUGGGUCGAAUCAAAUUUAUCACCACUUCCAUCUUAAAUCUGUUUUGGAUUAUAAAAUCAUUCUGUUUAGUACCCUGAAUCCGUUCACACACACUCGUUUAUCGCCUCAUUAGGGGUGAAUCGGGAUGGGAGCUCCACUAGCAUUGAUCCAUUUGCAUCCCCAGGAUGGGACUAAGUUGUGUGUGCAUAAUUUUAUUUCUGAAUCAGUUGUAUGAAUUGGCCAGUUUAACUCAGUCUACAAUUUACAGAAAAAAAUUCAGCCAAUGAGAACCAGUUCAUAUCAAGAUAAGGACCUUGCUCAUUGGCCCUACUUCUGCUUUCUUCCUAAAAUAGUAGACUCUAGUAGAGCAAUUCGCCNAAAAAAAAAAAAAAAAAAAAAAAAAAAAGGGAAAGAUUCCGAGUAUCACAAGAACCAAUUAGAAAGUUAUAAACCAUGUUUAUUUAUUCAGAAAUCUUGUAUCAAAAUGAGCUUUUGAGACUUAAAAUCCCCAUUUGUACUGUUGGUCGCACGGAAAAGAGAAACACAAUUGGUUUGCGAAAAUCUAGUUUUUACUUAUUCAAUACAAUGAUGCUUCUGAAUCUGAACGAAAAGACAUUUACGAUAUACUUGGCUUUAAAAGUUGAGUCUGAAAUGAGAACCGAUACGGUUGACUCCUACUCCAAUCUUGUGCUCGGAAAGAAUCCUCUUUUGGAUUAAAGUCAAGCGAAAUCUCACUCCAAUGUCGAAUCAAAAUAAUCUAUUCCAAUUCCCAUUUUAGGGUGAGAACCAGACGCACCAUUUCCGUUGGUAAUUCUUAUUCUAAUUUUGUUUUAUGAUUCUAAUAUUGAUGGUAAACCAAACAAUAUACAACUAUAACAAAAUUUUAUCCAAAAAUCAUAAAAUUUUUUGAUAUUUUAAGCAGUAUAUACAAAAACUCUAGUUAGGCUAAAUAAACCGACAGUUUCAACUGUGACAUGUUUAGUUGGACUAGCAUUGGGCCAAACCAGGUGAGUAUAAACCGUUUCGAUUCGAUUUAAUUCGAUUCGAUUCGAUUCGGUUCGGUUUGAUUCGGUUUUAACUUUGGACCAGUUGUACGAGAACCGACCAAGUGGUGGACCAGCACAUUAAUUUAAACCUAGAAGCAUUGAACGAGGAAGUAGUAGCCGUUUAUCACAGUAAUAGUUAAGCCCCACCACAUCGCUCGUGCCUUAAUUAGUAAUUAGGUAAAAAUGUACGGAGACCCCUAAACUAUUGUCACGUUUGAAAAUCCACCACUUAUAUUUCUCAUUUUUUUUGGGGUAAAUUGUAUGGAGACCCCCUCAACUAUAGCCUAUUCGGAAAUAACCCCCUCAUCUAUCCUUUUUUUUGCGUUUGACACCUUCACAACCUCUAUUUCUUUUUUUAUGUCAGUUUUUAUACUAAAAUAAGUUAUAUAAGUUAUCAAAUUUAAUAACCCCAUUAGUCAUUAAUAAUUAAUUGAUCUAAUUUUGCAUGCUAAACAAUUGAUUAAAGAAAUCAAAUCUAGUAAAAUUACUGAUAAAUUUGAUAAAAUCUCCAAACUUUUUGACUAAAACUACUUUUUUCUUAAAAAAAAGCCUUUCUUCUUACAAUUAGCCCAUCCAAGGACUAGUCUUUCUUUCUUUGCCACAUUAAUUUUCUUUUCUUUUUUUUUUGAUAAUUCUCUAACUUUUUUUUCUUAAAAAAAAUUUGAAUGGUUUUAGUCGAAUAAAUAGGAAUUUAGCCAAAUUUCACAGUUUGAUUAUUUAACAAAUAAUAUUGAAACUCUUGAUGACUUGUGAUGCCCCAACUUCCCAGAGAGUCACCCAUCCUACGACUACUUCCGUUCUAACAUACUUAACUCUCUUAACCUCUUGGAUCUAUUCAUAAUCCAAAAUACUUAAGCCGGGUUAAGAAUUUAGUCCUAUUAUAUUUUAUAUAUAGGACUAUCUGGGGUCUCACACGACUAAUAUCUAAUAGUGCAAUUAAAUUCAAUAGAAUUUUUAACUUAAUUAACUAAAAUACGUUAAAUUAAAAAUUAAAAACUAAAAGUGAACCAAUAGUAUAAAAAAGUAGAACCAUACUAUUUUAUACACUCUGCAAGAUGAGAGAUGUUAGAUAUGCACUGAUGUAAAAGUAGAAUUUAUCAAAAAAAAAAGGAAAAUUAAGGGGCCCAAUUUGAAAUUUGCAAUAGUUGAGGGGGCCUUGAUACAUUUCAAAUUAGUAAUGAACUUACACAUCCAUUUUAAGAAGCCUCACCCCUCACCUGUCCUGUCAUUCACAACCUAUGGAGCAAAAGAAAGUGAUAAGGGGGGACCAGGUGUUUCUAAAUGAGGUGGGAGUAUGUUUAACAUCUAUUGCAUUUAUCUGUGAAAAAGGGUACAUAGGAUUCUAGUAGCCUCAUGCUAAACUCUAGGAUGCAUUUGUAACUUGAUUAAAGAGGUAAAAUAUUACUUCUAUAAAUUUUUAUCUCUAAUAACAUAUUUGGCAUGGAGAAAACUAUAUAUAUAUAUAUAUAUAUAUAUAUAUAGUUUUCUCCAUGCCAAAUAUGUUAUUAGAGAUAAAAAUUUAUAGAAGUAAUAUUUUACCUCUUUAAUCAAGUUACAAAUGCAUCCUAGAGUUUAGCAUGAGGCUACUAGAAUCCUAUGUACCNCUCUCUUCUUACUUUAUAUCGUUUUUAUUUUCUCGCUCCCGAUUUUGCUCUUUUUAUUUUCUCUUUUCACUUUCUUUCUCUUUAUUUUCUCUCUCAUCUCUUUUCUUACGUUUUCUCUUUACUUUCUUCAUCCGUAUCUUCGUUCAUCGGACGCUUUCUCUCUAGCCAUUCCUUUCUCUUGCUUUCUCUCAAUAUAUUUUGCUCUUUUCUUAUUUUUCUCUCUUCACUUUCUUUUUCUUCAUCCUUUUCUCUCUCCUCAUUCCUUCCUCUCUUUUUAUUUUCUCUUUCUUUAUUUUCUCUCUCGUUGACUCCCUCUCAUCCCUUUCUCCUUACUUUCUCUCCUUUCUUUUUCUCUCUCUUCAUGCAUUUCUCCUUCCUCAUUUUCUCCCCCCUCUCUCUUUUAAUACUCUUUCUCAUCCCUCUCUUCUUGUUUUAUUUUUCUCCACUGCCUCACUCCUUAUCUGUUUCUCUUUCUUUAUUUUUUCUCUCAUCCCUUUUUUUUUUUUCGCUUCACUUCUCUCGUUCCUUUCUCUCUCAUCGUUUUUUCUCCACUUAUUUUCUCUCUUAUCUAUCUAUACUUUUGUUCAAGAAAUAAUCAAACCUCUACACAAUUUUUUGUUUGGGAAAACUUCAAAUACCACCCCUGUGGUUUCAUACUUUCACUUUAGUACUCUGUGGUUUAAAGUGUAUCAAUUGAGUAUACUGUGAUUUUAUUUUUUUCUUUUUAUUAUCAAUUCCACUAAUUUUUUUAUUAAAUCAGUGACAAAGUUAAAAUUAAAGAAUACUAAAGUGGAUAUUCAAUAAACUUAGGUGGGGUAUCUGAAGUUUUUUAUAUAUAAUUUAACAAAAUAUUAAUGAAAAAUCUGACGAAAAGAUAAAAAUAAAACUACAGUACAGUAACUUUAUACACUUUAAACCAUAGGGCACUAAAGUAAGAAAAUGCGAAACCACAGGAGUGGUAUUUGAAGUUUAC
This 39595-nucleotide long non-coding RNA is filed under the name Ananas comosus (pineapple). Its description in RNAcentral is "long non-coding RNA (ACOM_LNC017590)". Lineage: Eukaryota; Viridiplantae; Streptophyta; Magnoliopsida; Poales; Bromeliaceae. The record is from RNAcentral.